This 344-nucleotide ribosomal RNA is filed under the name uncultured Methanosaeta sp. Its description in RNAcentral is "bacterial SSU rRNA". It matches the Rfam family "Archaeal small subunit ribosomal RNA", at positions 994 to 1338 of the family's 1478-position model. The record is from RNAcentral. Lineage: Archaea; Methanobacteriati; Methanobacteriota; Methanomicrobia; Methanotrichales; Methanotrichaceae.
AUGCCGUCGUCAGUUCGUACUGUGAAGCAUCCUGUUAAGUCAGGCAACGAGCGAGACCCACGCCCACAGUUGCCAGCGUACUCUCUGGGAGUGACGGGUACACUGUGGGACCGCCGCUGCUAAAGCGGAGGAAGGAAUGGGCAACGGUAGGUCAGUAUGCCCCGAAUAUCCCGGGCUACACGCGAGCUACAAUGGUUGGUACAAUGGGUAUCUACCCCGAAAGGGGACGGGAAUCUCCUAAAACCAAUCUUAGUUCGGAUUGAGGGCUGCAACUCGCCCUCAUGAAGCUGGAAUCCGUAGUAAUCGCGUUUCAACAGAACGCGGUGAAUACGUCCCUGCUCCUU